GAUGAAGAACGUAGCGAAAUGCGAUACGUAGUGUGAAUUGCAGAAUUCAGUGUAUCAUCGAAUCUUUGAACGCACAUUGCACCUCUCGGUAUUCCGGGAGGUAUGCCUGUUCGAGCGUCAUUUGUACCCUCAAGCUCUGCUUGGUGUUGGGUGUUUGUUCCGCCUCUGUGUGUGAACUCGCCUCAAAACAAUUGGCAGCCGGCGUACUUGUUUCGGAGCGCAGCACAUUUUGCGAUCCAGAUCAACGUACAGCGGCAUCCAAGAAGCCUUAUUUAACGCUCUUGACCUCGGAUCAGGUAGGGAUACCCGCUGAACUUAAGCAUAUCAAUAAGCGGAGGA
Molecule: unclassified non-coding RNA, 339 nt
Filed under: soil metagenome
Description: partial contains 5.8S ribosomal RNA, internal transcribed spacer 2, and large subunit ribosomal RNA
Rfam family: 5.8S ribosomal RNA (bases 1-120)
Source: RNAcentral